GACGAACGCUGGCGGCGUGCUUAACACAUGCAAGUCGAACGAUGAAGCCUCACUUGUGGGGUGGAUUAGUGGCGAACGGGUGAGUAACACGUGAGCAAUCUGCCCUUGACUCUGGGAUAAGCGCUGGAAACGGUGUCUAAUACCGGAUAUGACGACUGGCCGCAUGGUCUGGUUGUGGAAAGAUUUUUCGGUUGGGGAUGAGCUCGCGGCCUAUCAGCUUGUUGGUGAGGUAAUGGCUUACCAAGGCGACGACGGGUAGCCGGCCUGAGAGGGUGACCGGCCACACUGGGACUGAGACACGGCCCAGACUCCUACGGGAGGCUG
This 324-nucleotide ribosomal RNA is filed under the name uncultured Actinomycetes bacterium. Its description in RNAcentral is "bacterial SSU rRNA". It matches the Rfam family "Bacterial small subunit ribosomal RNA", at positions 28 to 351 of the family's 1533-position model. Lineage: Bacteria; Bacillati; Actinomycetota; Actinomycetes. The record is from RNAcentral.